AGAGUUUGAUCCUGGCUCAGGACGAACGCUGGCGGCGUGCUUAACACAUGCAAGUCGAACGAGACGAUUGAAAGCUUGCUUUUGAAAGUCGAGUGGCAAACGGGUGAGUAACGCGUAGACAACCUGCCGUAAAGAUGGGGACAACAGUCCGAAAGGACUGCUAAUACCGAAUGUUGUGGAACUCCCGCAUGGGAGCUCCACUAAAGAUGGCCUCUACUUGUAAGCUAUCGCUUUACGAUGGGUCUGCGUCUGAUUAGCUAGUUGGUGGGGUAACGGCCUACCAAGGCGACGAUCAGUAGCCGGUCUGAGAGGAUGAACGGCCACAUUGGAACUGAGACACGGUCCAGACUCCUACGGGAGGCAGCAGUGGGGAAUCUUCCGCAAUGGGCGCAAGCCUGACGGAGCAACGCCGCGUGAGUGAAGAAGGGUUUCGACUCGUAAAGCUCUGUUGUCGGGGACGAAUGUCAGGACUCAAAAUAUGGGUUCUGAAUGACGGUACCUGACGAGGAAGCCACGGCUAACUACGUGCCAGCAGCCGCGGUAAUACGUAGUGGCGAGCGUUGUCCGGAAUUAUUGGGCGUAAAGGGAGCGCAGCGGAGAUCAGUCNANCUUAAAAGUGCGGGCUCAACCCNNGAGGGGAUGGAAACUGGUNNUUCUUGAANUGCNG
Molecule: ribosomal RNA, 667 nt
Filed under: uncultured bacterium
Lineage: Bacteria
Description: bacterial SSU rRNA
Rfam family: Bacterial small subunit ribosomal RNA
Source: RNAcentral